RNAcentral lists this ribosomal RNA (497 nucleotides) under uncultured bacterium. RNAcentral describes it as "bacterial SSU rRNA". It matches the Rfam family "Bacterial small subunit ribosomal RNA", at positions 10 to 507 of the family's 1533-position model. The record is from RNAcentral.
AGUUUGAUCAUGGCUCAGGAUGAACGCUAGCGGGAGGCCUAACACAUGCAAGCCGAGCGGUAGAGAUUCUUCGGAAUCUUGAGAGCGGCGUACGGGUGCGGAACACGUGUGCAACCUACCUUUAUCUGGAGGAUAGCCUUUCGAAAGGAAGAUUAAUACUCCAUAAUAUAUUGAUUGGCAUCAAUUGAUAUUGAAAGCUCCGGCGGAUAGAGAUGGGCACGCGCAAGAUUAGUUAGUUGGUGAGGUAACGGCUCACCAAGACGAUGAUCUUUAGGGGGCCUGAGAGGGUGAUCCCCCACACUGGUACUGAGACACGGACCAGACUCCUACGGGAGGCAACAGUGAGGAAUAUUGGUCAAUGGGUGCAAGCCUGAACCAGCCAUCCCGCGUGAAGGACGACUGCCCUAUGGGUUGUAAACUUCUUUUGUAUAGGGAUAAACCUACCCUCGUGAGGGUAGCUGAAGGUACUAUACGAAUAAGCACCGGCUAACUCCGUG